RNAcentral lists this long non-coding RNA (513 nucleotides) under Homo sapiens (human). RNAcentral's name for it is "non-protein coding lnc-RAX2-2:3". Lineage: Eukaryota; Metazoa; Chordata; Mammalia; Primates; Hominidae. The record is from RNAcentral.
UCGGUGACACUCAGCAUCGUCCACUGCCCUCCCGUCACCACCGCCAUCAUCCACCGGCCCCACGCCCGCGAGCAGCUGGGCUUCUGCGUGGAGGACGGCAUCGUGAGGCCCCGGCCCCUGGCCCCGGGGUGGGGGGGUAGGGCGGCCCUGAGCACGGCCCCUGAGCAGCCCCCACCUCUUUCCCGUCCCCCUCUUUUCUCCCCCAGAUCUGCAGCCUCCUCCGUGGUGGCAUCGCCGAGCGUGGGGGCAUCCGCGUCGGCCACCGCAUCAUUGAGAUCAAUGGGCAGAGUGUGGUGGCCACGCCACACGCCCGCAUCAUCGAGCUGCUCACCGAGGCCUAUGGCGAGUGCAUAUCAAGACGAUGCCAGCUGCCACAUAUCGCCUCCUUACAGGCCAGGAGCAGCCCGUGUACCUGUGACCACCUCAUCCCUUGCCUGCCACUGUGCCUUCGCCUCCAUGGCCCCGGAGCCCCAUCCUGGGCCUGCCCUGGCUGGCCAGGACCCCAGCGGUUCU